RNAcentral lists this ribosomal RNA (660 nucleotides) under uncultured bacterium. RNAcentral's name for it is "bacterial SSU rRNA". It matches the Rfam family "Bacterial small subunit ribosomal RNA", at positions 68 to 703 of the family's 1533-position model. The record is from RNAcentral.
GAUGAUCGGUGCUUGCACCGAGAUUCAACAUGGAACGAGUGGCGGACGGGUGAGUAACACGUGGGUAACCUGCCCUUAAGUGGGGGAUAACAUUUGGAAACAGAUGCUAAUACCGCAUAGAUCCAAGAACCGCAUGGUUCUUGGCUGAAAGAUGGCGUAAGCUAUCGCUUUUGGAUGGACCCGCGGCGUAUUAGCUAGUUGGUGAGGUGAUGGCUCACCAAGGCGAUGAUACGUAGCCGAACUGAGAGGUUGAUCGGCCACAUUGGGACUGAGACACGGCCCAAACUCCUACGGGAGGCAGCAGUAGGGAAUCUUCCACAAUGGACGCAAGUCUGAUGGAGCAACGCCGCGUGAGUGAAGAAGGCUUUCGGGUCGUAAAACUCUGUUGUUGGAGAAGAAUGGUCGGCAGAGUAACUGUUGUCGGCGUGACGGUAUCCAACCAGAAAGCCACGGCUAACUACGUGCCAGCAGCCGCGGUAAUACGUAGGUGGCAAGCGUUAUCCGGAUUUAUUGGGCGUAAAGCGAGCGCAGGCGGUUUUUUAAGUCUGAUGUGAAAGCCCUCGGCUUAACCGAGGAAGCGCAUCGGAAACUGGGAAACUUGAGUGCAGAAGAGGACAGUGGAACUCCAUGUGUAGCGGUGAAAUGCGUAGAUAUAUGGAA